AACGAACGCUGGCGGCGUGGAUAAGACAUGCAAGUCGAGCGCUGAUUCAAGGGUAGCAAUAUUCUUGAGUCGGAGCGGCGCAAGGGUGCGUAACACGUGGGUAAUUUGCCAUGAAGUCUGGAAUAACUUGCUGAAAGGCGAGCUAAUGCCGGAUGUGAUUUUCGGAAAGCAUUUUCUGAAACUCAAAGCUGGGGAUCGUAAGACCUGGCGCUUCUUGANAACGCCCGCGGCCUAUCAGCUAGUUGGUGAGGUAACGCUCACCAAGGCUAAGACGGGUAGCUGGUCUGAGAGGACGACCAGCCACACUGGAACUGAGACACGGUCCAGA
Molecule: ribosomal RNA, 328 nt
Filed under: uncultured bacterium
Lineage: Bacteria
Description: bacterial SSU rRNA
Rfam family: Bacterial small subunit ribosomal RNA
Source: RNAcentral